UUCUGCCUUUUUUCUUUUUUUCCCCUCAAAUUUCAAUUUUUAUGGGCCACAUGUACUAGUGGGUCGGCUACCAGCCCACGGUCCGCUACAGUAGCCGUGCCGGCCCGGCACGGCCAGCAACUCAUUGGGCCGUGCUUGGGCCGAGGCCUUGGCACGUGGUCCGGCACGGCACGGCCCGCUACAGGAGCCGUGCCUAACGGGCCGUGCCCUAGUGGGCCGUGCCGUCAGUGUGCCGUGCCGUGCUGGGCCGGGCUGCCCGUUUGGCCUGCUAUAGCCGAAAAUCACGCCGCUCGCCCAGAUCGCUCUGCCUCCCCUCGCCCAACCUCCUCGCUCCAUCCCUCUCACGCCAACUGCAGCGCAGCCACCAGCGCCGUCGAUUCGAUUCCGACACCCUCUCUCCCCUGACGUCAUCACCGCCGCGGAUCUCUUCCCCUCUCUCCCUCUGAUGCCGCUGUUGUCCCCUCCUCCUCCUCCUCAUCCGCCACGCCCGAUUCUACGCUGUACGAGCCGACCCUAUGCAGUGGCAAGACGAUCCCAGCUGCGGCUAUCCUACCCGCGACGAUGAGGCAACUAUCCUCCUCGCGCAAAGACGACCCGGGCGGUGGAGAUCCUCCACGUGACGAGGCUACCCCGGCGGCGAUGUGACCUGGCUCGUGCUAUCCACUUCUCUGUUGGCUGCUCUGCUUGGUGCUGUUCAUUCUUCACAAGUCAAUCAAAAGAAAGGGUGCUUUCUCACUUACAAUCUUUCAUGGACCAGAACAGUAAAAUGGACGAACCUUCAUACAGAUGACUUCAAUUUAAGUAUGAUAGCAUUAAUCAUGGAAUUUCACAUUGUUGCUUCCUUGAUAUUCCAUAUUUGCAUUUGAAGUAGCAGGAUGUGUUGUCUUCUAAUCAAUAGAAGAGUGCUUGCGAUAUUUGGAUAUGGUGAUGGGAGCAUACCUUUGAAGCUGUUGAUUGAGUUUCAGUUCACUAGUUAUUUGACAAAUUAGUGUAUGAAAUGCUUCUCCAUAAGAAUGAUACACACAUAUUUGACAGUAUGAACACACAUAUUUUGAUUGAACAA
Oryza sativa Japonica Group (Japanese rice) is the source of this 1063-nucleotide long non-coding RNA. RefSeq lists it as uncharacterized. Lineage: Eukaryota; Viridiplantae; Streptophyta; Magnoliopsida; Poales; Poaceae. The record is from RefSeq and is a predicted model, not a curated record.